This 5205-nucleotide long non-coding RNA is filed under the name Olea europaea (common olive). RNAcentral describes it as "long non-coding RNA (OEUR_LNC008577)". The record is from RNAcentral. Lineage: Eukaryota; Viridiplantae; Streptophyta; Magnoliopsida; Lamiales; Oleaceae.
UGCUACAACUUUAAGGUUGCAAACCCAAGUGCAGGUUGUCGCAAGUAGUAAAUCUCGGAAGUCCGAGGUCGAACCACAGGGAAUUGGAAGGAAAUAAACUAUUCUAUGAGUAAUAAACGGUUGGCGGAAAUACGAUUAACACGAACACUAGAGCGUCGGGGAUUCACUUCGGAUAAAUGAGUAGAAAUUGCACUUGAUCUUUAAUUUAACUCAUAUAAAAAUCAACUAAGGAGUGAUCUCAUAUGGAAGAUAAAACAUUGAUCACAAAUAUAUUGAAAGAUAGAUCUUGAUAAUUGUUUGAGAGAAUAUGUCAAAAUAAGUUGUUGGUAUGUAGAGAUUAUCUAAGCAUUUAUUGUGCCAAAAUUGUCGACAAUAAAUCAAAGUCUUUAACAAACCAAAACCAUUUGUAGAACACAAACUUCAACCAAGUAAGAAGAUGAACAUUGAAGAACAAAAUGAAAGAUCAAAGACAAUACUAAACAUUCAUCAAAGUUUCACCCCUAGCUCUAGCUAAAUGUUUAGAAAUACAUAGUGAAAUGUUACAAAGAAAAUGAAGGAAACUAGAAUAUGAUGGAGAGAAUUGAUUCUUCAAAAUCGUGGCCAAGGUCCCCUUUUAUAGGCAAAGGAACAUCCAAAAUUCAAGUAGGCAAUGCAACUUGUUUCUGUCCAGCUUCAAGACAGCUGGAACAUGCAACUUGAUGCCAAUUUUCAGAUAUAUUGUGCAGCGAAUUUGGACUUAUGAUCAACAGAUAAAUUAUUUCCACUUGAGUUANNNNNNNNNNNNNNNNNNNNNNNNNNNNNNNNNNNNNNNNNNNNNNNNNNNNNNNNNNNNNNNNNNNNNNNNNNNNNNNNNNNNNNNNUUUUUUAAAUUGGACUCAUCCCGACCCUCAAUAGUCAACUAUUUCUCUCUUCACUCAUUGGAUGCACACCCCAAACUUGAUUUUGUAACUAUUUUCCCAAGGUGUAAUGUAUGGUUAAAUUUAUAUACUAUUACUCACCAUCUCUAGUUUUGUUAGAUUUUACUAAUUGUAGCUCAACACAUCAAUAAAUGAGGAUUCUCCUUAAUUUUGACUGACUCAAACUCCAAGAAUCAACUAAGCUACUAAUCCCUUAUCAAAGGUCUAAUUCUCUAAAAUAAGUGUUUGGGACUCAAUCAAGACAUGUAGUGCGUCUUCUGUUUCAUGCACCUGCUUUUUUCAAGUUUGCUGUGCGUAUUCUGUUUCAUGCACUAGCCUAUCUCUUUUUAUGUAUAUAAUUUUCCUCAUUGGGCUCUUUUAGGGUAGCUUCACAACAUGGCAGCUUUUUCCCUUCUAUGCAAUGAUUAGUGCAAUGCCCCUCAUUAAACACUUAUUCUCGAAAAUCGAUCUUUAACUUAAGAUUUUCACCUAAUUAUCAUCUCAUUGGUCUUAAGCAAUUUACACAAAAUUUAACACACAUGGAAUCCACAUCUAUCUCAAUGUCUCCCCACAACAGCUCAACCACCCCAAACUAUCCUAGAAUUGGUUUAGUUGGAAUUUUUUUUUUUUUUGUUGUCAUAGUUAAUUCUACAUAUUCUAUCCAUUGAUCCAAUCUAAAUAAUAUGUGAUUUCCAUGAUUAUUGUGCUCAAUGUAGAUCAAUCUAACAUGAACAAGCUUAAACUAAAUCAAAGUAGCAUCCCCUAGUCAUAAUAAUAUAAAAACAAUUUCAAAUAUUAUCAUCGGUCGGUAAGAAAUUUUAAAUUUUUUUAUUGGAUGGGAAAAAAUUUUUUUUUUUUUUUUUUUUUUGAAACAUUUUGAUUUCUUCCCCCAACCUAAAUGAAACAUUGUCCUCAAUGAAAAGAUUAAAUGUUCAAAAUAUAUGAAGGACAAUAAGGGGCAAAAUUUUGAACAAAGGGACGGGUUUUGAGCUUUACCUGGAAAGUCUGCAUAAACUUGGCCUAAAUGAUCCUUCAAUUUCAUUAGUGAAAAAAAAAACAACAAUAAAAGAAACACACCUAAAAAAAAACACACAACAUUAUAAAACUGAAAAUAAACAUACAAAAUAAAAUAAAAUAAAAAGGAUAUCAAUCUUUAGAAUCAUGUAUAGCAACGGGCUCUUCAAAUCUAGAGAAAUUCUCAAAAAAUGGUUUCAAAUCGAGCUUUGGUUCUUGAACACUUGAAAUCAUAUGCGAAUUUUUAAAAUUAUCAUUGAAUUCAAAUUCAAGCGCAUCAUAUGAAGAUGUAGCGAUAAAUUGAUCAUCAACAAGUUGUUCAAUAAGAUCUACUUCAUGCAAAUCAUCUUCAUCUCCAUGUUGCUUGCAAAUGUUAAAAAUAUUCAUUUCCACGGUCAUAUUUCCAAAAGAGAGUUUCAAGAUACCAUUUCUACAAUUUAUCAACGCAUUUGAAGUAGCAAGAAAGGGACGUCCUAAAAUGACAGGUAUUUGUGCAUUUGAAUUUAAAACAGGAUGUGUGUCCAAAACUAUAAAAUCAACAGGAAAAUAGAAUUUAUCAAUUUGAACUAGAACAUCCUCUACAACCCCUCUUGGAACUUUUACUGAACGAUCAGCAAGUUGAAGUGUUGUUGUUGUUGGCUUAAGCUCUCCCAAACCAAGUUGCUCAUACACAGAAAAAGGUAAUAGAUUAACACUAGCACCAAGAUCAAGCAAAGCACGCUCUAUCCUGUUAUUCCCAAUCACACAAGAAAUUGUUGGACAACCAGGAUCUUUGAAUUUAGGUUGAGUGUUUUGUUGAAUGAUUGAGCUCACAUUCUCUGUCAAAAAUGCUUUCUGUUGAGCAUUAAGUUUCCUCUUAACAGUGCACAAGUCUUUUAAAAAUUUUGCAUAUGAAGGUACUUGUUUGAUUGCAUCCAAUAAUGGUAUGUUAAUUUUGACUUGUUUAAAAAGUUCAAAAAUUUCAAAAUUGUGGUUGAGUUUUGAAAUUGGUAGCAAUCGUUGAGCGUUAUAUAUAUAUAUAUAUAUAUAUAUAUAUAUAAGGUGGAAUCCAUUGCGAUCUUGGGCAUCGCCAAAGAAGGGUGUUCUCCGCGCCUAUGAGUGACUAUAGGUCCAUUCGGAUGCUGCUCCAAGAGAGCUUUAUUCGGCCUUUGUAUGACCGUCUUCCUCAGGAGUUAGGCCCUCAUAAAAGAAACUUAUAGUACGCCAUUUUUCAAAACCAUGAUGUGGGCAUGUAUUUAACAAAUCUUUAAAUCUUUCUAAACAUUGAAAGUACGCUUCAUUGGUUUUUUGAGAAAAAUUUUGGAUUUGUCUUUUCAAAGCAUUAGUUUUAUGGGCUGGAAAGAAUUUCUUCAAAAACUCACUUUGCAUUUCUUGCCAUGUGCCAAUCGACCUAGGUUUUAAAGAGUUAAGCCAAGUUUUUGCUUUAUCUUUUAGAGAAAAAGGAAACAAUUUCAACUUAACAAUUUCGUUGGGACAAGUUUGAUCGUUAAAUGUUGCACAUACUUCCUCAAAUUCUUUAAGAUGCAAAUAUGGACUUUCGGAUUCUAAGCCAUGAAAAUUAGGAAGUAAUGGAAUCAUACCCGGCUUGAAUCGAAAAUUAUUAGCAUUAAGAGGAAAAAUGAAACAUGAAGGAGCAGAAUUUCGAGGAGGUUGCAAGUAAUCACGCAUGGUUCGUACUUGUUGGUUUUCAUUUUCAUCGUGUAUGCUUUCAUUAUCAGCCAUGGUGGAAGAUGUGAGUGAGUGUUGAGGUGAGUCAAAUAAAUUACUAAAGAAAGUUUCACAAUUAUCUUUACCUAAACGAUGAGAAUUUAAUUCACGAUACCAAUAUGACAUAAAAUAACAAAAAGUAGAUGUAAUGAACAAAAAUUAGGUGGCACAGCCAACCAUAUAAAAAGAACGAAAAUUAGGUGACACGGCCAACCAUAUAAUAAUGUAAAGGACAAAAAUUAGGUGGCAUAGCCAACCAUAUAGUAAAAACGAAAAUUAGGUGGCACGGCCAACCAUAUAACAAAGAAAGGGCAGAUCGGGAGGCUCGGCCUUCCCUUUAAGGAAAGAAAAUAAACAAAAAAUAAAAACGAAGGAGGCUCGGCCUUCCUUUAAAGUAAAAUAACUAAAGCAAUAAGAUUGAAAAAGGAACGGUAAUAAAUGGUUGGUGGAAAUACGAUUGAGAUGAACACUAGAGCGUCGGGGAUUCACUUCAGAUAAAUGAGUAAAAAUUGCAGUUGAUCUUUAAUUUAACUCAUAUGAAAAUCAACUAAGGAUUGAUCUCAUAUGGAAGAUAAAACAUUAACCACAAAUAUAUUAAAAGAUAGAUCUUGAUAAUUGUUUGAGAGAAUAUGUCAAAAUAAGUUGUUGGUAUGUAGAGAUUAUCUAAGCAUUUAUUGUGCCAAAAUUGUCAACAAUAAAUCAAAGUCUUUAACAAACCAAAACCAUUUGUAGAACAUAUACUUCAACCAAGUAAGAAGAUGAACAUUGAAGAACAAAAUGAAAGAUCAAAGACAAUACUAAACAUUCAUCAAAGUUUCACCCUUAGCUCUAGCUAAAUGUUUAGAAAUACAUAGUGAAAUGUUACAAAGAAAAUGAAGGAAACUAGAAUAUGAUGGAGAGAAUUGAUUCUUCAAAAUCGUGGCCAAGGUCCCCUUUUAUAGGCAAAGGAACAUCCAAAAUUCAAGUAGGCAAUGCAACUUGUUUCUGUCCAGCUUCAAGACAGCUGGAACAUGCAACUUGAUGCCAAUUUUCAGAUAUAUUGUGCAGCGAAUUUGGACUUAUGAUCAACAGAUAAAUUAUUACCACUUGAGUUAGCUUUCUAUUGGUUCAAAUAUCAGGUUCAUUGGAUCUAUAUAACUCCAGAGAUGACAAAAACAAUAAGUGCUGCUUCACAGGUAAAGCUGUAUCCGGCAGGUAACAAGCUGGACUUUACACGGUAAUUUUAGCUGCUUUGUGAUACGAAUUUGACUUCUUCCAAAACAUGAAAGUUGUAGAAACAUGCCUUUUCUUUCGAACCCAACUUGAAUCACCUCGAUCCAAUGUCUGAAGCUCAAGUUAUGAUUAUUUUACCAACAGCUGCUUCUUGCUUGAGACAGUCACUAUUUUUGACUUUUCAACAUUAUUUUCCUCCACUUCCUCCACUUGUUGUAAUUUGGAAAUACAAGUGAAAUACAUCAAAUAGAUACUCUUUCAAAUGUAUAAUACUCAUGCCACCAUGUAUGUAAAUACGUAUUUCAAUUAAUUGCAUUUUUAACCAUGUAUUUAUGGAAAUUGAAUUUACGGCAAGACAAUUGAAAUUAAAGACUAA